This 448-nucleotide ribosomal RNA is filed under the name uncultured bacterium. RNAcentral's name for it is "SSU rRNA". It matches the Rfam family "Bacterial small subunit ribosomal RNA", at positions 26 to 518 of the family's 1533-position model. The record is from RNAcentral.
AGGAUGAACGCUGGCGGUGUGCCUAAUACAUGCAAGUCGAACGAGACCUUCGGGUCUAGUGGCGGACGGGUGAGUAACACGUUGGUACCUACCCCUAAGUGGGGAAUAACUGCCCGAAAGGGUGGCUAAUACCGCAUAAUCCCGCAAGGGUAAAGCAGUAAUGCGCUUAGGGAGGGGCCUGCGUCCCAUUAGCUUGUUGGUAGUGUAAUGGACUACCAAGGCGACGAUGGGUAGCUGGAUCGAGAGGUUGACCAGCCACACUGGGACUGAGAUACGGCCCAGACUCCUACGGGAGGCAGCAGUAAGGAAUCUUCCACAAUGGACGAAAGUCUGAUGGAGCAACACCGCGUGCAGGAUGACGGUCUUCGGAUUGUAAACUGCUUUUAUAUGGGAAGAUUAUGACGGUACCAUAUGAAUAAGGACCGGCUAACUACGUGCCAGCAGCCGC